RNAcentral lists this unclassified non-coding RNA (344 nucleotides) under soil metagenome. Its description in RNAcentral is "partial contains 5.8S ribosomal RNA, internal transcribed spacer 2, and large subunit ribosomal RNA". The stretch from base 1 to 120 matches the Rfam family "5.8S ribosomal RNA", at positions 35 to 154 of the family's 154-position model. The record is from RNAcentral.
GAUGAAGAACGUAGCGAAAUGCGAUACGUAAUGUGAAUUGCAGAAUUCAGUGAAUCAUCGAGUCUUUGAACGCACAUUGCGCCCCCUGGUAUUCCGGGGGGCAUGCCUGUCCGAGCGUCAUUGCUGCCCUCAAGCACGGCUUGUGUGUUGGGCCUCCUCCUCCUCCCGGGGGACGGGCCCGAAAGGCAGCGGCGGCACCGCGUCCGGUCCUCGAGCGUAUGGGGCUUCGUCACCCGCUCUUGUAGGCCCGGCCGGCGCUUGCCGACACAUCAAUCUUUUUUCCAGGUUGACCUCGGAUCAGGUAGGGGUACCCGCUGAACUUAAGCAUAUCAAUAAGCGGAGGA